GUAGGGAAUAUUGCACAAUGGGGGAAACCCUGAUGCAGCGACGCCGCGUGAGUGAUGAAGGCCUUCGGGUCAUAAAGCUCUGUCGUAUGGGACUAACACAAUCAAGGUACCAUGCAAGAAAGGAUCGGCUAACUUCGUGCCAGCAGCCGCGGUAAGACGAGGGAUCCUAGCGUUGUUCGGAAUCAUUUGGCGUAAAGCGGGUGUAGGCGGAUUUAUAAGUCAGGUGGGAAAGCCCAGGGCUCAACCCUGGAAGUGCAUUUGAUACUGCUGAGCUUGAGUGUCGGAGAGGUUACCGGAAUACCUGGUGUAGUGGUGAAAUACGUAGAUAUCAGGUGGAACACCGGAGGCGAAGGCGGGUAACUGGACGAACACUGACACUGAGGCCCGAAAGCGUGGGGAUCAAACAGGAUUAGAAACCCCUGUAGUCC
Molecule: ribosomal RNA, 428 nt
Filed under: uncultured bacterium
Lineage: Bacteria
Description: partial 16S ribosomal RNA
Rfam family: Bacterial small subunit ribosomal RNA
Source: RNAcentral